AGAGAUAAAAAAACAAGCCCCUUUUGAGACUAAUGCAUAUGUAAAUCAGGCAGGCAGUGACAGAAACACACAAACUAUGCGGCAUGUGAAACAUCCUCUCGACCGUAAAGUAUAUCUAUUUUGUCAUUCAUCUGCCAGUAUGUGGGGUCCCUCUCUUCUGUGGCGACUUUUACUGUUUCUGCAGCUCGAACUCUCACAGAUAACUCUCACAGGCAGACAGAGUUCUGGCAGCUGUGACUUAAACUUACAUUAGCAUAAAAUAACCCUAGGUCAUGCGCAAACAGCUCAUGGGAAAGUAGCGCUAAGUUCUUGGGUUCCUCCAACCGCUCGAGCCUCCAUUAUAAACGGACAUUUCCACUGCACUCCGUUUUCCUAACCAAGCUGGCUCAGCCCACAGAGAAUAUCUGUGGUUUUGUGAUUACUAGUACAGCAAGAAUCGAGAAAAAAAAACACAAGAAAGAAGUCAAAAUAAAGACAAAAAAGUGAAAGAAACCAUUGCAAAAAUGGAGACGAUGUAGGAAGCCUGUCAAAGCUUGUUUUGUCUAUUUACAACACAGUCAUUGCUGCCGUCUGGAAUGCCUGGUUGUGACUAGAGUAAUAAUCAAGAAGGCUGCAGGCUGUGGGUUUCACACAAGAGCAUGCAUAAACUGUAUUUCUCCUUGUGAAUGGUGCAAAAGCUUAAACCAAUGUUGUGCAGGAUGGUUCAAAAAAAAAAAAAAAAAGAGCCUCUGGAGUCUGUUUUUAUUUAGCCCACGCUGAAUGUCUAAGCACGGAAGGGCCACGGUGGUAUCAUCCAGGUGGGUGGCUGCUAACAGCAGUGGAUGAGAGGUUUACCCGAGGCAUAUAUGUGUUUUCCAUUACAAACAGUAUCAGGUGGAAAAACACGUUUUGUAAAUUGGUUUUUUUUUUGUUCUCAAAGCCAUGUGCUGCACAGAUGGGAUAAAACUGGUGUCCACAAGCAGUUCUAAACAACUUGGAUGUCUUAGGGUGCAACCUCUUAUUAGCAAUAACAAACGAGUUUACUUAAAAAUAGGAAAGAAUACUUCCUCUGCAUGCUGUGUGAAAAAUGUGGGUAUUGAUUCCACAUUGCCCUGCCUCGCUAAGUGCCCGUCGUGGGGUCGAGUGGAAAGGCAUGCGUAGGAUCUGGUAUUUAUGGGAAGUGAGGAUGAUGUCAGAGCUCCAGAGCUCCAGAGUCCUCUGCAGACAUUUAGGGCCACGGCUGCUUUCAGCACGGGGCAGCACCCAUACACCUGAGAAUCAUUUAAAAGCUUUGGUAAUGGCGUGCGUGUGCUAGCAAGUUCAUAUGUUCGCGCACACCUACAGGGUGCAGAGUGAAGCUCCAGUCAUCUAAAUCACGGCGGCCAGCAUCAGAGACACAUCUGCAUCAUGCUUUCUCAGACUGAAUCACCCACCUGUGGUAUUAAAGAAUGUUAUUUGGUCCUGUCUGGUAUUUAGUUUUCCAAGAAAGCGAUUUUAAGAGCUAUGCAUCAUUUACAGAGUCACAGUCGAUGGUGAAGAACCAAAAAAAAAAGAAAGAAAGAAAAAGCGGCCUUUGAGAAGAAGAAGAAGAAGAAAAACAAACAAGACUAAAAAUCUGUCAUCGUGAAUGAGAAUGGGAUUCUCAUUACAAACCAGAACAGUUUGAAAGAUGCUGUGUUUACACUGUUUCCACCAGUGGCACAUAAAAAAAAUAUUAAUUUGUCACGGUGCUGAUGUGGGGCCACACUUCUAAUCCCAUUGCCACACCAUUAGAAGUUGCAUUAUACACUUGAUUACCGUCUGGGUGAAUGGGACCACAACACUGAGAGACUAGAUGGAAAAACAAAUGAUAGGUUCCAGCCCCACGUGACCGUCAGUUGAAUAAGUUGAAGAUAACACACCUUUAGUUUAGCUAUGAAACAACAGGUAAACACAGGUGUUAGUAAUUAUAUUAAUUAAGGCUCGCUCCCAAAUAGAAGAGAAGCUUCGCUGUUGUCAUCAGCGGUGUUUGUGCCGUGGCCCCGGGGUUUUUUGGACUUUUUAGAUUCUGCUUUAGCGUUCUCUAUUUAGUGGUAAGUUUGUUUACGUUUACAUGUGGAUUUUGAUGCUUUUCUUUAUUACCUCGAGCUAUUAGCUCUUAGUUCCUGUUCCUGUUUUUAUUAAAGUUUAUGAUAAUACUUUCUGACUUUCUGAGUUUAUUUACUUCUUCAGUAUUCCCUCUAUCUCUUCCUUGUGUCUUCCCCUCUGUCAAAUUAUUCAUGUCCCUGCAUUUCUCCUGUGUUUUCAUAAAAUUUC
This is a long non-coding RNA of Astatotilapia calliptera (eastern happy), 2274 nucleotides long. Lineage: Eukaryota; Metazoa; Chordata; Actinopteri; Cichliformes; Cichlidae. The record is from Ensembl.